Molecule: ribosomal RNA, 549 nt
Filed under: uncultured bacterium
Lineage: Bacteria
Description: bacterial SSU rRNA
Rfam family: Bacterial small subunit ribosomal RNA
Source: RNAcentral
UAGGGAAUCUUCCACAAUGGGUGCAAACCUGAUGGAGCAAUGCCGCGUGAGUGAAGAAGGUCUUCGGAUCGUAAAGCUCUGUUGUUAGAGAAGAACACGUGCUAGGUAACUACUAGCGCCUUGACGGUAUCUAACCAGAAAGUCACGGCUAACUACGUGCCAGCAGCCGCGGUAAUACGUAGGUGACAAGCGUUGUCCGGAUUUAUUGGGCGUAAAGGGAGCGCAGGCGGUCUGUUUAGUCUAAUGUGAAAGCCCACGGCUUAACCGUGGAACGGCAUUGGAAACUGACAGACUUGAAUGUAGAAGAGGAAAAUGGAAUUCCAAGUGUAGCGGUGGAAUGCGUAGAUAUUUGGAGGAACACCAGUGGCGAAGGCGACUUUCUGGUCUAACAUUGACGCUGAGGCUCGAAAGCGUGGGGAGCGAACAGGAUUAGAUACCCUGGUAGUCCACGCCGUAAACGAUGAGUGCUAAGUGUUGGGGGCUUUCCGGCCCUCGGUGCUGGAGCUAACGUAUUAAGCACUCCGCCUGGGGAUUACGACCGCAAGGUUG